UAGGGAAUCUUCCGCAAUGGACGCAAGUCUGACGGAGCAACGCCGCGUGAGUGAAGAAGGAUUUCGGUUCGUAAAACUCUGUUGUUAGAGAAGAACAGCGCAUAGAGUAACUGUUAUGCGUGUGACGGUAUCUAACCAGAAAGCCACGGCUAACUACGUGCCAGCAGCCGCGGUAAUACGUAGGUGGCAAGCGUUAUCCGGAAUUAUUGGGCGUAAAGCGCGCGUAGGCGGUUUUUUAAGUCUGAAGUGAAAGGCAGUGGCUCAACCAUUGUAGGCUUUGGAAACUGUUUAACUUGAGUGCAGAAGGGGAGAGUGGAAUUCCAUGUGUAGCGGUGAAAUGCGUAGAUAUAUGGAGGAACACCGGUGGCGAAAGCGGCUCUCUGGUCUGUAACUGACGCUGAGGCUCGAAAGCGUGGGGAGCGAACAGG
This 428-nucleotide ribosomal RNA is filed under the name Bacteroidota bacterium. RNAcentral's name for it is "Bacteroidetes bacterium partial 16S ribosomal RNA". It matches the Rfam family "Bacterial small subunit ribosomal RNA", at positions 355 to 776 of the family's 1533-position model. The record is from RNAcentral. Lineage: Bacteria; Pseudomonadati; Bacteroidota.